This 62-nucleotide transfer RNA is filed under the name Podarcis lilfordi (Lilford's wall lizard). Its description in RNAcentral is "tRNA.Lys". Lineage: Eukaryota; Metazoa; Chordata; Lepidosauria; Squamata; Lacertidae. The record is from RNAcentral.
GAGCUUAGUCGGUAGAGCAAAAAACUCUUAAUCUCAGCUUUGUGGGUUCAAGUCCCACGUCG